CCUACGGGUGGCAGCAGUGAGGAAUAUUGGUCAAUGGACGAGAGUCUGAACCAGCCAAGUAGCGUGAAGGAUGACUGCCCUAUGGGUUGUAAACUUCUUUUAUAUGGGAAUAAAAUGUUCCACGUGUGGGAUUUUGUAUGUACCAUAUGAAUAAGGAUCGGCUAACUCCGUGCCAGCAGCCGCGGUAAUACGGAGGAUCCGAGCGUUAUCCGGAUUUAUUGGGUUUAAAGGGAGCGUAGGUGGAUUGUUAAGUCAGUUGUGAAAGUUUGCGGCUCAACCGUGAAAUUGCAGUUGAAACUGGCAGUCUUGAGUACAGUAGAGGUGGGCGGAAGUCGUGGUGUAGCGGUGAAAUGCUUAGAUAUCACGAAGAACUCCGAUUGCGAAGGCAGUUCACUGGACUGCAACUGACACUGAGGCUCGAAAGUGUGGGUAUCAAACAGGAUUAGAUACCCGUGUAGUC
RNAcentral lists this ribosomal RNA (460 nucleotides) under uncultured bacterium. RNAcentral's name for it is "partial 16S ribosomal RNA". It matches the Rfam family "Bacterial small subunit ribosomal RNA", at positions 338 to 795 of the family's 1533-position model. The record is from RNAcentral.